This 129-nucleotide non-coding RNA is filed under the name Phascolarctos cinereus (koala). Lineage: Eukaryota; Metazoa; Chordata; Mammalia; Diprotodontia; Phascolarctidae. The record is from RNAcentral.
GUGUUGUAUGAAAGGACAGAAGGUUAGCACUCCCCUUGAUAAGGAUGGAAGAGGCCUUGAGUGGCCUUUACAACACAUAUACGGUUAAGGCAUUGCCACCUACUCUGUGGCAUCUAACCAUGUUUUUUU